UUCUGCGCGCGCUUAUGGCGCGCUUUUGUGCGUGUCGAAAGCGUAUAACGUGCGCGAUAUUCGUGCGAGCGCAGUUUGACUUGAGCAAUCGUGGGCUUGGACUCCGUGAGAUUUGCUUUCGUCAUAUGCGAGUUAGGGGCUUGCCGACAGGUAAACCGCCGCUGUACUUAAGUGAAUACCUUGUUUUUCGUGGUCCUGAAAUAAAUGGCGCGUCGCUGCGAUGGCGACUUCAAUCGAGUGCGGUAAUUGCUGCGCAUUACGGGCGAUUUAAUUGCACAAUACGUUCUGCAUUAUCGGUGUAGGCAGAGAAAACUUAUCCUGUGAGCCUUACUUCCGUCAGUCAGUCGGUUACAUGUUUCGCUCUUUUCCAGUGCACAUUCCUUGAUAUCCACUAACGAGCUGCUUCAAAUAUCGAAGUGUCUAUUCAUCGUGCAGAUGUUUUUUUAUUAUUAUUAACACAACUGGCGACGAGCAGCAGAGUUACAGCCAUGCAAAAGCUGCCUCCCUUAUCUUGAACAGAAUAAAUUCCUUUCGAAGACAAAAUAAAGAAAACAGAAAGAAGUCAUCAAGGCAUUCCACAUCUAUCUUAUUCAGUCUUUACAGUGUUGCUACAUCACCAUUUCCUGAGCCUCCUAUGCCAAAAAAGGUUGUUGUCAAAAAUAAAAUGACCUGAUUCCCAUGUUUUUCACCAUCCAAGCAGUGUUUACUGUCAAUUAUUACUGCUUUUUGUAACCUCACCUGUGAUUACUGUAUGUUAACACUGAGCUAUAUGAUAAGCUUAGUAAAAGUUGAAAAAGUAUACUGAAUGUUUAUUUCUGUUUUUUUAGACAUAAGGAGGGGUGCUUAAAAGUGAGCCGCAUUUGCAAAAUGCUUGCGUAAACAGCAACUACCCCGGUCAUGUCCUAAUUGUGGCCAUGUUGUCCCUGCAAACUUAUUAAUCUCAUCCGCCCACCUAACUUGCUGCCGCCCCCUGCUACGCUUCCCCUCUCUUGGAAUCCAGUCCAUAAACCUUAAUGACCAUCGAUUAUCUUCCCUCCUCAUUACGUGCCCUGCCCAUUUUUCUUGAUUUCAACUAAGAUAUCAUUAACUCGCGUUUGUUCCCUCACCCAAUCUGUUCUCAUCUUAUCCCCUUAAUGUUACACCCAUCAUUCUUCUUCUUUCCAUAGCUCGUUGCGCUGUCUUCAAUUUAAGUAGAACCCGUUUCGUAAGCCUCCAGGUUUCUGCCCUGUACGUGAGUACUAGUAAGACACAGCUGUUUCACACUUUCCUCUUGAGGGAUAAUGGCAACCUGCUGUUCAUGAUCCAAGAAUGCCUGCCAAACGCACCCCAGCCCAUUCUUAUUCUUCAAAUUAUUUCAGUCUCAUGAUCCGGAUCCGCAGUCACUACCUGCCCUAAGUAGAUGUAUUCCCCUUACCACUUCCAGUGCCUCACUACCUAUCGUAAACUGCUGUUCUCUUCCGAGACUGUUAAACAUUAUUUUAGUUUUCUGCAGACUAAUUUUUAGACCCACCAUUCUGCUUUGCCUCUCCAGGUCAGUGAGCAUGCAUUGCAAUUGGUCCUCUGAGUUACUAAGCAAGGCAAUAUCAUCAGCAAAUCGCAAGUUACUAAGGUAUUCUCCAUUAACUCUUAUCCCCAAUUCUUCCCAAUCCAGGUCUCUGAAUACCUCCUGUAGACACGCCGUCAAUAGCAUAGGAGAGUUCGUAUCUCCCUGCCUGACGCCCUUCUUUAUUGGGAUUUUGUUGCUUUCUUUAUGGAGGACUACGGUGGCUGUGGAGCCGCUGUAGAUAUCUUGCAGUAUUUUUACAUAAGGCUCGUCUACACCCCGAUUCCAUAAUGACUGCUGAGGUUUUUACUCAAUCAAACGCUUUCUCGUAAUCAAUGAAAGCUAUGUAUAAGGGUUGGUUUCUUAAUUAGGUCUUUCAUCUCCUGCGAUAACUUACCGGUAUCCUGUCUAACGAAGUUACAACCGACUUCUAUUGCACACUCCUUAAUGAUGCCCAUAAGAUUUUCGUUCAUUGCUUCAACACUGAGGGUCUCUUCCUGAGUUAAAGCCCAAUACCUCUUCCGCAGCCUGAUCCGAAAUUCCUCUACUUUCCCUCUUACCGCUAACUCAUUGAUCGGCUUCUUAUGUACCAGUUUUUUCCAUUCCCUCCUUUAGUCUAGGCUAAUUCGAGAUAUUACCAUCCUAUGGUCACUGUAGCGCACCUUGCCGAGCACGUCCACAUCUUGUAUGAUGCCAGGGUUAGCGCAGGGUAUGAGGUCUACUUCAUUUCUAGUCUCGCCAUUCGGGCUCCUCCAAGUCCACUUUCGGUUAUCCCACUUGCGGAAGAAGGUAUUCAUUGUCCGCAAAUUAUUCCAUUCUGCAAACUCUACUAUACUGAUGGGCGACUUCAAUGCCAGGGUAGGCAAGAAGCAGGCUGGAGAAAGGUAUCUUGUUUUGACUUUAUCCAUCGCCGAUUCCACGUCUUCAUAGAAGCUUUCGACUUGCUGGUCACUGGAUGUAGGCGGCUAGACAUGUACGGCCUUCAAUUUGUACCUCUUCUUAAGUUUUACAACAAGACCUGCUACCCUCUCGUUAAUGCUAUACAAUUCCUGUAUGUUACCAGCUAUAUCCUUAUUAAUCAGGAAUCCAACUCCUGGUUCUCGUCUCUCCGCUAAGCCCCGGUGGCACAGGAUGUGCCUGCUUUUUAGCGCUGUAUAUGCUUCAUUUGUCCUCCCAACCUCACUGAGCUCUAUUAUAUCCCGUUUAAUGCCCGCUAAUUCCUCCAAUAGCACUGCUAGACUCGCCUCACUAGAGAACGUUCUAGCGUUAAACGUUGCCAGGUUCAGAUUCCAAUGGUGGCCUGUCCGGAUCCAGAGAUUAUUAGCACCCUCUGUGGCGUCACAGGUCUGACCGCCGCUGUGGUCAGUUGCUUCGCAGCUGCUGGGGACCGAGGGCCGGGGUUUGAUUGUUCUAUUCAUAUAGGAGGUUGUGGCCAAUCCUGCUCUGGUAAGGGAGUGCAUUACCAGUUCUGGUCACUGGGGUCAGGCCACCAGGCCUGUUUAUACAACUGUAUCAACAUGGAUUUUUUUUAUCCGGUGGAAAAUUGAGUGGCACCUGGAGAGAGAGAGAAAGAAGUUUAAUGACACGAAAUGCCGAGAGGUCGGCCUGAGGUAUAUUCCUCUAGCCAGCUACUCGGCAUUGGGGGAAGGGGAAGAGGGAAAGAAAGAGGGAAGAAAGAGGUGCAUGAUGGGUGACGAUGACGAUAGAAGGAAGAUGUAGAACAUAUGGCAAGCAAUUUGGCAUGCUCAAAGUCUGCAAUCCAGGCCCGUAAUUUUUAAAAAGUUCAGUAAUGCCUUGAUCGCCUUGAAACUCGACUGAGCGUCUGGCCAAGGGCCUAAAAUAACGUCCUCCGACAACGGUGCGCUGUCGAGACGCGUAAGGUCCUUGACCAACCUAUCACGCUCUUCCACAAACUUAGGGCAGUCACAAAGCACAUGACCUAUAGUCUCAGUCACAUUGCACACCUCACAGUGUGGAGACUCGGUGCAUCGCAUGAGGUCCACGUAUCCGCGCGUAAACGCUACCCCCAGCCUUAGUCUGUGCAGAAGACUGGCACAGCUUCGUUGAAUUAUCGGUGGUAGCCUAAAAUUCAUGGUGGGGUCCAAUCUCUGGAGUCGUCUGUGGCGAUUAUCCGGAUUGUCCCAGUGCUUUGCUGUCAAUUUUCGGAUGACACUGGAGAGGAGACAGUUGGCGUCCGCUCUUGAAAAAGGAAUUGAAAGCAGUGACUCUCGUUCUUCGAGUGCUUUCUUCGCUUCGGCAUCGGCCAGUUCGUUGCCCUGUAUACCGCAGUGACUAGGAAUCCACUGAAAUGUGAUCUGGUGGCCGUUUUCUUGCGCUAAAGUGUAGAGCUCGGCAGUUUGAAGAGCCAACACUCUGUAAGCGCUUUCUUUCAACACCACUCUAAGUAGUUGAAGAGCCGAUUUUGCGUCACUGAAAACUGUCCAUAUUUGAGGAGGCUGUCGCGCAAUAUAUUGAACGGCCUCUCUUAGUGCCACUAAUUCCGUAGAUGUUGUAGUCGUCUUGUUAUGCAGACGAAACCGUCGAAUGACUUGAUGCGCAGGCACGACAAAAGCCGCACCAGACGCAUACGACGAGACCGAGCCGUCUGUAUACACGCUCACCGAGGAGUCAUAUUCUUUCGACAUAUAUUCAAGUGUUAAAUGUCUGAGGCCGACGGUAGGUAUUCGCGAUUUUUUAGAAAUUCCGGGAAUAGAUAGACGUACUGGUAUUUUGGACAUUACCCAUGGGGGCAUAUGUGGAAGGUCAGCCGGGGCAAAGUAUGCUGGCACCUGGAUUUGAACCACAGUCCUUCUGCACGUGAGGCGGAUGCUCUACCUCUACGCUAUCGCUGUAUCGGGGCGCAAGUAGUAAGUAAUUAUACGGGAAGCGUUUUAUUUACUGUAAUUGGAGGAUUGGAGUAGAUUAGUUUGACCACUCAAACAGUGGGACUGGUCCAACUGUCAGAAUUCUGACAAGUUAUAAGGACUGGAAUCGCAUAACCACAACUCUGAAGGAAUGGAGUGGGAAUAGAAUGGAGCACCCCCACUCUGCAAUUCUGCACCAUGCCGUUAGAUCCUGUUCUUGGGCAAUGCCAGCACAGCUCUAGAAUCACAAAGACGACCGCACUACCAGGGCGAAACACAUAGAAGGCCUGUCAGCUGCCGCAUGAUCACGUGCUGCCAACGAGCAAUCCUGCACAUCCUAUAUAUAUAUAUAUAUACACAGUGCACAGACUGGUACCCUAGGUAGGGGCUAGGACUCGCAAAAACUAUAGUGUACUCCACAACUGUGACGAGUACCAGGCCACCAAACUCCUUGCCCUGUGCACGUUGCUGUCUAUCUUCAUGAGCCUAGAUCCUGAUGCAACCACUGGUGCCACACUGCUAUUUUCAAAGGCCACCACUAGGUAAAGUGCCAGGGCCCGCCCAGGCCAGGGGUCAUCGGCUUGGUCCAAUACACAAAAGACAGUAAACUUUGAAUUGACAGGACUACGAAUUGGAUUAGUAAAUUUUUAACUAACGCGAACCAAUUUGUAACUACUAAUGAAUUUUCUUCUCCGUGAUUGCUAGUAAGAUCCGGUGUGCCACGAAGCUCUGUAUUGGGACCAAUUUUAUUCCACCAAAAACAUGGCUCCACACAUUGUUUGAAAACAUGUGAGUGCAUAUGCUUGUAUCGGACAGCGAGAAUAAGUAAGAGUCGGUAAGCAAUGUCAAAUACAUGCAAUCUGGCUUACAAAACAAAAGAAACUGGUCACUAUUUAGUAAUAGUUUUCUUUUGUGUGAAACAACUGCACCCUUGAAAAGUUCCUCAUUCUACAAAAGUUCAUAUAGUGAAAUAUAGAAAUAUUUGGAUGCAUUUGAGUUGUCACCUGGCCCAGGGAACUUCUAGUGGCGGUCUGUCUCGAUCUCUCAAUUCCUGGCACUCCCCAAUAUUGUCACGUGGGCAGCAAAACUGUGAUUAAUGAAACGAGCGUUUUAUUGGGCGAACUUGUGCCCUCAAAAACAGGCUACACUCAAAGAAGGAUGGUAGCGGCGAACACGAUCGGUGGUCGUCGAAAAUCUGAUGAGCGGGUCAAGCGCGUCGGCUUUUAUACAUCUGUCGUCGAAUGUUCCAGAGCAAUCGCUGGGACCCGCGUGCCUUUCACAAAGUUUCACAUUAUUCACGUCGCGCACACAUGCAUUUAGAUAACACAAGUUGCAGUGAAAGACAGUGGAUGGAACCCAUCGAUAACUUCCAGAAACUUCUUUUACAUGCAGGCAAUUAUUUCCUUGAGAAUCUCCUCUUGCAGUGCAGGAGCUGCGAAAGCAAAAGCUGCCUGCCUCAUCUGGAACAGAAUAAAUUCCUUUCGAAGGCAAGCUCAAAAGCAGAAAGAGAAGUCAUCAAAGCAUUCCACAUCGCUAAAAUUUGUGAGAACUAAGUUAGCUCACCUUCUUGAUACCUAUCAAGGAAAGAAAUAGAAUUCUUAGAUGGGCACCUUGGGACUCUACUGCACUCUUAAUGCACAGGUGGCCUUGCUAUUUUUCAUAUCUGCCUCUUGCACAAUUUCUUUGCGAAUGUUUUUUGUUUUGCCAUUUUGAAGAACCUUAUAAACUCUCUGCCUUCACCAAACAAAGCCAGUCGGAAGUCUAUACUUUGCGCAUGCAUCUAUGCUUUUGUUCAUGUCCUGUCUUCCUCACACAGUUUAAAAUUUUGCUGAAGCUACAAGCUGACUAACCCAACAACAUGCCUUACUUCAGUGUCCAGCUGGGCUUGUUGGUAAAGCUACACAAUGCCAGCUCAAGUGACCACCGUGUGUGUCUGCUCUUCCGUGUUUGCAUGUGGCUCAGCCUUGAUUGCAUGUGUAGUUUCAGUACUAGCUACUAUAUUUUAACUACUAAUAUAACUUCCAUCUUCAACUUCCAGCUAGACAGAGUACCUCAUACUACAUUCUGAACAUUGCUGCAGUCAAGAAGGAUUUCUGUCUAAUGCGCUGGCCUCUACCACCAAAUGCCUGAAAAAUUAAGAAACAUUAUGUAGAUUCCAGACACAGUCGGGAUUUAUGUUGCAGGAUCCUUGGGUUGCACAACCACAACCUUGGCUAUGCCCAAUGACAAGGGACAGCAAGAUGCUACUUUAUGCCCAGAUGUCACCUCUUAUGACAUUUCAAGGCAGCGAGGCUGAGACUGCACUGUAUUCAGCGGCACUGACAACCAUGAUGUAGAGGACUGACUUUCCCCCUAUGUACAACACAUCAGCAGAAUAAGAACAAGGAAAUGCCCCACACAGGUGCGUGGCACUAAACUGGACGCACUACCUGCUGUAUGCAAGAGAGAAUUAGGAAGAAUGAGCUUCCCAUUACUCCUGAGCACCUACCUACAACUGUUUUUAUGGGCACAGCAUUGAAGCUGCAAUUGAGGUAAUGCCUAACACCACAUGAAAUACAAAGCACAAUACGUCAACACAGAGAAACCAAAACAACUGCACACACAACUUCUCACCAAAAUAGACACAACGUCUGCUUUAUGUUGCAUCUGAGCUGAAACGGGAGAAUCCCAAACUCUGUGUCACAUAACAUCUGAAAGAAUCAGCUGCUAUGAGAGAACCAGUGAGAUUAAUCUGGCGCGCUAUGCAUGCACCUGUAGCCUAACGGGUAAAGAAUUGGGCUGCUGCACUAAGGACCCAGACUAACGACCCACCAUCAGGCACGUUACUAUUAUUGAGCCUAUCUGACUGGAUGUACGAAGAAGCCAGGAGACGGAUCAUGAUAAUGCUUUGCACAAGAGACAACGAAGCUGAACCCACGUUUUCUGCCUUGUGCUUGCAAUGCUCUACCAAGUGAGCUUCAAUGGCAGUUGUCCCGAUGUCAAUUUUCUUGGAUAGCUGCGCAUGUGUACUAAGCAUAGCCCUAAGAGUGCUGGGCAGCAGCACUCACAGUCAUGAUGGCAGAUGUUAAGUAUCCUUUAAAACACCCAUACUACAAAGUACAUGAUCUUAGAAGCUGGCAAGUGGCUAAUAAACACUCGUUUUCUACCAUGAGGAACCAAGGCAGCCGAAAUCAAAACAUUUGUAGCUUAUGAGCGAGAAAAAUCAGGGGAGUCACGCAGCUCAAUUUUUUGUUUAUAACAAGCAUAUGAUGGCAACAGACUAUGAAGCAACAAUGACUAUAUAGAAAAAUGGGUUAGAGCUGACGACAAUCAUUGGCAGCUCACACUAUAAUGCUUUCUCUACAAUGUAUUGUCUCAAGACAUCUGGCAGCAAAAAUCUUCUGGAUUCUUCUACUAUGUCUUUUGCAACUGAAAUUUUAAAUGUGUGUAAUACUUCACGGCAACUUAGAACACUUACAUGGUUAAGCAUCUCCAUACCUUAAAUUUGUGGACCAGUUUUGUCACCUUUCUAGAACAAUAACUCCCUGGUGUCAUACAUCACUCAAACCACUACUAAUUAAAUCUACCUUUAGAUAAGCAGUACCUGCAUUAGAUGCAGCAGCAUACCCUUUUAGCAAAUGCAUAUACAUACCACGCUCAGACUGAGCAAACCAAACAAACCAACAGCGACCAGUACUUGUGUCCAUUUGUCUUCAACGAGGCAGAGACAGGCCAGGUCUCAAUAAACACAACAAAUAUAAGGUGCAGGCAGAGGAAAUAAGCAGAAGCUGUAAAGACAGCAGUAAAGUGAAACAAAUUAGACAAAUUUGCACACAGUCAGCGAUCUGGGCCGAGGACAAUUCACAACGUUACUGCCACAAUUAGAAGCAAAUGCUCCUCAUGCAACAAGAAAAAACACGUUUUAGCUGUAAACAGCACGAGUGCGUGGAGUUGGUUGAUAUUCUAAAAACAGCACAGACAACAAUUAAAGCAGACACACUACUUGUGU
This is a non-coding RNA of Dermacentor albipictus, 8395 nucleotides long. Lineage: Eukaryota; Metazoa; Arthropoda; Arachnida; Ixodida; Ixodidae. The record is from RefSeq and is a predicted model, not a curated record.